RNAcentral lists this ribosomal RNA (901 nucleotides) under bacterium enrichment culture clone L55B-99. RNAcentral describes it as "bacterial SSU rRNA". It matches the Rfam family "Bacterial small subunit ribosomal RNA", at positions 8 to 916 of the family's 1533-position model. The record is from RNAcentral.
AGAGUUUGAUCAUGGCUCAGGACGAACGCUGGCGGCGUGCCUAACACAUGCAAGUCGAGCGGUCUCGCCUAUAGCAAAAGGCCUUUCGGGCUUCGAGCAAAGGCGAGAUAGCGGCGGACGGGUGAGUAACGCGUGGCUUAUCUGUCCCAGGGAGGGGGAUAACGUCUGGAAACGGGCGCUAAUACCCCAUAUGCCGGUGAGGUAAAAAGGAGAAAUCCGCCCUGGGGUGAGGCCGCGUCCUAUCAGCUAGUUGGUGAGGUAACGGCCCACCAAGGCUAUGACGGGUAGCCGGCCUGAGAGGGCGGCUGGCCACACUGGGAUUGAGAUACGGCCCAGACUCCUACGGGAGGCAGCAGUGGGGAAUAUUGGGCAAUGGGGGAAACCCUGACCCAGCGACGCCGCGUGGAGGAAGGAGCCCUUCGGGGUGUAAACUCCUGUUGUAAGGGAAGAAGACAGUGACGGUACCUUACGAGGAAGCCCCGGCAAACUACGUGCCAGCAGCCGCGGUAACACGUAGGGGGCGAGCGUUGUCCGGAAUCACUGGGCGUAAAGCGCACGCAGGCGGAUGCGCGCGUCGGCUGUGAAAUGCACCGGCUCAACCGGUGCACUGCGGUCGAUACGGCGCGUCUGGAGUGCGGGAGAGGGAAGCGGAAUUCCCGGUGUAGCGGUGAAAUGCGUAGAUAUCGGGAGGAACGCCGGUGGCGAAGGCGGCUUCCUGGCCCGCAACUGACGCUCAUGUGCGAAAGCCAGGGGAGCGAACCGGAUUAGAUACCCGGGUAGUCCUGGCCGUAAACGAUGGACGCUAGGUGUGGGCGGUUUAUCCGUCUGUGCCGAAGUUAACGCGUUAAGCGUCCCGCCUGGGGAGUACGAUCGCAAGGUUGAAACUCAAAUGAAUUGACGG